CUACGGGAUGCUCCAGUGGGGAAUAUUGGGCAAUGGGCGCAAGCCUGACCCAGCAACGCCGCGUGAGGGAAGAAGGUUUUCGGAUUGUAAACCUCUGUCCUUGGGGACGAAGAAGUGACGGUACCCAAGGAGGAAGCUCCGGCUAACUACGUGCCAGCAGCCGCGGUAAUACGUAGGGAGCAAGCGUUGUCCGGAAUUACUGGGCGUAAAGGGUGGCGUAGGCGGCAUAUUAAGUCAGGUGUGAAAUACUCGGGCUCAACCCGGGGGCUGCAUUUGAAACUGAUAUGCUUGAGUGUGAGAGAGGAAAGUGGAAUUCCUAGUGUAGCGGUGGAAUGCGUAGAUAUUAGGAGGAACACCAGUGGCGAAGGCGACUUUCUGGCUCAUAACUGACGCUGAGGCACGAAAGCGUGGGGAGCAAACAGGAUUAGAUACCCCCGUAGUC
This 442-nucleotide ribosomal RNA is filed under the name uncultured bacterium. RNAcentral's name for it is "partial 16S ribosomal RNA". It matches the Rfam family "Bacterial small subunit ribosomal RNA", at positions 339 to 795 of the family's 1533-position model. The record is from RNAcentral.